Molecule: ribosomal RNA, 491 nt
Filed under: uncultured bacterium
Lineage: Bacteria
Description: partial 16S ribosomal RNA
Rfam family: Bacterial small subunit ribosomal RNA
Source: RNAcentral
GAUUGAACGCUGGCGGCAGGCCUAACCCAUGCAAGUCGAACGGUAACAGGAAGCAGCUUGCUGCUUUGCUGACGAGUGGCGGACGGGUGAGUAAUGUCUGGGAAACUGCCCGAUGGAGGGGGAUAACUACUGGAAACGGUAGCUAAUACCGCAUAACGUCGCAAGACCAAAGAGGGGGACCUUAGGGCCUCUUGCCAUCGGAUGUGCCCAGAUGGGAUUAGCUAGUAGGUGGGGUAACGGCUCACCUAGGCGACGAUCCCUAGCUGGUCUGAGAGGAUGACCAGCCACACUGGAACUGAGACACGGUCCAGACUCCUACGGGAGGCAGCAGUGGGGAAUAUUGCACAAUGGGCGCAAGCCUGAUGCAGCCAUGCCGCGUGUAUGAAGAAGGCCUUCGGGUUGUAAAGUACUUUCAGCGGGGAGGAAGGGAGUAAAGUUAAUACCUUUGCUCAUUGACGUUACCCGCAGAAGAAGCACCGGCUAACUCCGUG